Molecule: long non-coding RNA, 848 nt
Organism: Hipposideros armiger (great roundleaf bat)
Lineage: Eukaryota; Metazoa; Chordata; Mammalia; Chiroptera; Hipposideridae
Exons: 3
Source: RefSeq, a predicted model, not a curated record
CACACCCAGGGUCGCCAGAGUAGGCAGCAGGCUGGGGGCUCAGGAGCAGGCUCAGCAGAGCCAGAGAUGAAGAUCAGGACUCUGAAGCUCAGAGAGCUGAAGUGACUUUCCGCCUAGCUGGAAAGGGAUGGAGCAGGACUUGUACUGCGGACUGCCAGACUCCAGAGCCCAUGCACUUUGCUCUGUGCCACACAUUUCGAAUGGCAGUGGGAUGGAGGAAAGGGGAACAAAAUCUGAGCGUCCCCCUCCUCCCAAGGUCUCCAGGACAGUCCCGGCUGCACCGGCCUCUGCCCCACCCCCGUGCUCAGUGGAGUCUUGCACACCCGCCCGAGAGGGACACCCCAGAUGAAAUAGCCGUCGGCUCUCGCGCCGGGUAUCCGUGCACCUUCGAUCUCCUGCCCCAAAAGCUCAGCCCGCGUCUCCCGCAUCCGCGGGCACUUGGUCCCGGGACAACGGAGAACCAGACCCCGGCACUGCCCCUAACACUAGCACAGCCCUUACACCAGCAAUGCCCUGAGGGCGAGCACCACCCUCUCUAGCGGCAGGGGCCCUCCGCCCACCGGCGGACUUGGCCUCUCUCCCGCUCUGACACUGUUCCUCAGGGUGUGCAUGGCCCCCGCCCCAGGCCAGCGCAGCCUUAAGGGCGAUCACUGCCCCCCUCAUCCCACUCUGUUCGCCCGGCCCAGGCGCCAGCUCAGGCCGUCCCCGGCCCGGCCCAGCCCGCGCACCCCGGAAGUGGGAGGGUGGCCCCCAAGGAACCGGCCCCGGGACCCUUCCCCGUCCGGGAGCAGCCUCAGGGGUCUCUACACACUGGUGCCGCCCUUUUUCGCACCCCCUCGGGCCCGCGC